UGCCAGCAGCCGCGGUAAUACGUAGGUGGCGAGCGUUGUCCGGAUUUACUGGGCGUAAAGGGAGCGUAGGCGGAUUCUUAAGUGGGAUGUGAAAUACUCGGGCUCAACCUGAGUGCUGCAUUCCAAACUGGGAAUCUAGAGUGCAGGAGGGGAGAGUGGAAUUCCUAGUGUAGCGGUGAAAUGCGUAGAGAUUAGGAAGAACACCAGUGGCGAAGGCGACUCUCUGGACUGUAACUGACGCUGAGGCUCGAAAGCGUGGGGAGCAAACAGGAUUAGAUC
Molecule: ribosomal RNA, 279 nt
Filed under: uncultured bacterium
Lineage: Bacteria
Description: partial 16S ribosomal RNA
Rfam family: Bacterial small subunit ribosomal RNA
Source: RNAcentral